UGCAGUGGCGUGAUCUGGGCUCACCUCCCUGGUUCAAGCGAUUGUCCCGCCUCAGCCUCCCAAGGCUGGGAUUACAGACAGGGUUUCACCAUGUGGGCCAGGCUGGUCUUGAACUCCCAACCUCAAGUGAUCCACCCACCUUGUUCUCCCAAAGUGCUGAGAUUACAGGUGUGAGCCACCAUGCCCAGCCUGUUCCUAACCCUUUCAACUGGGGGGUCUCAAGUGGGUGAGGACUCCGUGGCCACGGCAGCAGAACUGUCUCUUCUGAAAACCAGACUCCGGGGCCCCUGGGUCAGCACCUCUAGGUCAUUCCACAGACUUACACAGUUUAAAGAAAGAGCCAGCGAACAUGGGGUGAUCCUGGGGUGCCAUUGGGAUCCCAAGCCAGGCCUGGAGGUCUGCCUGUUUCGUCCCCAGAAACUUGAGCUGGCAUCCUCCGCUGGUUUGCACUGGGCACGGGGACUGGAGAGCCACGAGGCCACUGAGCGCAGCAUGCUAUCACUUCUCAGGAAGUUGUGAGGGUGAGGAGAAUAGCCGGGCCCACUCUGCAGAGGGGAGGAACAGGCACAGGCUAGAGGCACGGGCUGAUAGAGUGAGUCCUCUCCCUCAUUCAUUCAUUCAUUCAUUCAUUCAUCCAUCAGACACCUGCUGGGCAUCUGCUGUGUGCGAGACACUGUGCUGGGUGCCCCAGACACGAGACAGAAACUCGGGUCGCCCUGUGUGCCUCCACACUGGCCUUCCCUGCUGCGUGGACGCAGGCUCUGUCUCCUAGGCUUUAAGCCCCAUGCAUCAGGUGGAAGACAAUUUCCAGCGGCCUCUGCCCGCUUGUUUUUCCUCCUCUCCUUUUCCUGCCGCCUUGGUCUUUUUUGUCUUUUGUGCAGGGCCGUCUCUCGCAGCGCCCGUCUGUGCUCCGCAGCGUCUAGGAAAGGAUUAGUGUGAGCAGAGCAUGCAGGCUUUGGUGAACAGAGCCGAGCUUGGUUUCAACAUCUAAUUCAAUUUGUUCUGCCGAGAUUGAAAUAUGAAAUGGUUGCCAGUCAAACGUUCAAAGGACGGGGAAGGGAGAGUGAGCGCCUGCUGAAAUUUAAAUUUUAAUGAAAAUGACUUUAACCCUUUGGUACACCUUGCAAAAUGUAACCCAUCCUCCCAUCCUGUGAAAGCGGCCUCUCGGGUUAGAGCUUUCCACCCACUUCUCUUCCACUGAGCUUCACUAAUAAUAUGUAAUCAUUUUUUUCAGCCGUCUUAACAAUAAAAGAUUAAUAGAAUG
Molecule: small RNA, 1264 nt
Filed under: Pan troglodytes (chimpanzee)
Lineage: Eukaryota; Metazoa; Chordata; Mammalia; Primates; Hominidae
Description: processed transcript
Source: RNAcentral